This 460-nucleotide ribosomal RNA is filed under the name uncultured bacterium. RNAcentral's name for it is "partial 16S ribosomal RNA". It matches the Rfam family "Bacterial small subunit ribosomal RNA", at positions 338 to 795 of the family's 1533-position model. The record is from RNAcentral.
CCUACGGGUGGCAGCAGUGAGGAAUAUUGGUCAAUGGGCGGAAGCCUGAACCAGCCAAGUAGCGUGCAGGAUGACGGCCCUACGGGUUGUAAACUGUUUUUAUACGGGAAUAACGCGCUUUACGUGUAGGUCUUUGCAUGUACCGUAUGUAUAAGGACCGGCUAAUUUCGUGCCAGCCGCCGCGGUAAUACGGAAGGUCCGGGCGUUAUCCGGAUUUAUUGGGUUUAAAGGGAGCGUAGGCCGCAUGUUAAGCGUGCUGUGAAAUGUCCGGGCUCAACCCGGGCCUUGCAGCGCGUACUGGCGUGCUUGAGUGCGCGGAAGGCAGGCGGAAUUCGUCGUGUAGCGGUGAAAUGCUUAGAUAUAACGAAGAACCCCGAUUGCGAAGGCAGCUUGCUGCAGCGGAACUGACGCUGAUGCUCGAAAGCGCGGGUAUCGAACAGGAUUAGAUACCCCUGUAGUC